GAACUGCGAUAAGUAAUGUGAAUUGCAGAAUUCAGUGAAUCAUCGAGUCUUUGAACGCACAUUGCGCCCCCUGGCAUUCCGGGGGGCAUGCCUGUCCGAGCGUCAUUGCUGCCCUUCAAGCCCGGCUUGUGUGUUGGGUCGUCGUCCCCCCCGGGGGACAGACCCGAAAGGCAGCGGCGGCACCGUGUCCGGUCCUCGAGCGUAUGGGGCUUUGUCACCCGCUCGAUUAGGACCGGCCGGGCGCCCGCCGGCGUCAAACCCCAAUCUUUCUAAGGUUGACCUCGGAUCAGGUAGGGAUACCCGCUGAACUUAAGC
Molecule: unclassified non-coding RNA, 315 nt
Filed under: plant metagenome
Description: partial contains 5.8S ribosomal RNA, internal transcribed spacer 2, and large subunit ribosomal RNA
Rfam family: 5.8S ribosomal RNA (bases 1-105)
Source: RNAcentral